Non-coding RNA from Actinotignum schaalii, 58 nucleotides. The record is from Rfam. Lineage: Bacteria; Bacillati; Actinomycetota; Actinomycetes; Actinomycetales; Actinomycetaceae.
CAACGGCACUCUUCACUCGGAUCGUCCGGCACGUACCUGCCGGUGAAGGGACCAGUAA